CCUACGGGCGGCAGCAGUGAGGAAUAUUGGUCAAUGGGCGGAAGCCUGAACCAGCCAAGUCGCGUGCAGGAUGACGGCCCUACGGGUUGUAAACUGCUUUUAUACGGGAAUAACGAGCCUUACGUGUACGGCUUUGCAUGUACCCUGUGAAUAAGGACCGGCUAAUUCCGUGCCAGCAGCCGCGGUAAUACGGAAGGUCCGGGCGUUGUCCGGAUUUAUUGGGUUUAAAGGGUGCGUAGGCCGCAUGUCAAGCGUGCGGUGAAAUUUCCGGGCUCAACCCGGGCCUUGCAGCGCGAACUGGCGUGCUUGAGUCCGCGGAAAGCAGGCGGAAUGCGUCGUGUAGCGGUGAAAUGCUUAGAUAUGACGAAGAACCCCGAUUGCGAAGGCAGCUUGCUGCAGCGGAACUGACGCUGAUGCUCGAAAGCGCGGGUAUCGAACAGGAUUAGAUACCCCUGUAGUC
Molecule: ribosomal RNA, 460 nt
Filed under: uncultured bacterium
Lineage: Bacteria
Description: partial 16S ribosomal RNA
Rfam family: Bacterial small subunit ribosomal RNA
Source: RNAcentral